AUCAAAGUGGUGAAAUUGGUAAACACGUUACACUUAGGAUGUAAAGCUUAUAAAAGCAUUAAGGGUUCGAGUCCCUUCUUUGAUA
RNAcentral lists this transfer RNA (85 nucleotides) under Phytophthora clandestina. RNAcentral's name for it is "tRNA-Leu". It matches the Rfam family "tRNA". From Rfam's summary of the family: Transfer RNA (tRNA) molecules are approximately 80 nucleotides in length. The record is from RNAcentral. Lineage: Eukaryota; Oomycota; Peronosporomycetes; Peronosporales; Peronosporaceae.